GCUGGGUGUGGUGGUGCACACCUGUAAUCCCAGCUACUCAGGAGGCUGAGACAGGAGAAUCGCUUGAACCCGGGAGGCAGAGGUUGCAGUGAGCUGAGAUUGUACCACUGCACUCCAGCCUGGGUGACAGAGCAAGACCCUGUCCCUU
RNAcentral lists this non-coding RNA (148 nucleotides) under Nomascus leucogenys (northern white-cheeked gibbon). Lineage: Eukaryota; Metazoa; Chordata; Mammalia; Primates; Hylobatidae. The record is from Rfam by way of RNAcentral.